GGCCCUACGGGGCGCAGCAGGCGCGAAAACUUUACAAUGCGGGAAACCGUGAUAAGGGGACACCGAGUGCCAGCAUCAUAUGCUGGCUGUCCGGGUGUGUAAAAUACACCUGUUAGCAAGGGCCGGGCAAGACCGGUGCCAGCCGCCGCGGUAACACCGGCGGCCCGAGUGGUGAUCGUGAUUAUUGGGUCUAAAGGGUCCGUAGCCGGUUUGGUCAGUCCUCCGGGAAAUCUGACGGCUUAACCGUUAGGCUU
This 254-nucleotide ribosomal RNA is filed under the name uncultured Methanosarcina sp. RNAcentral's name for it is "partial 16S ribosomal RNA". It matches the Rfam family "Archaeal small subunit ribosomal RNA", at positions 319 to 573 of the family's 1478-position model. Lineage: Archaea; Methanobacteriati; Methanobacteriota; Methanomicrobia; Methanosarcinales; Methanosarcinaceae. The record is from RNAcentral.